CAACAUGACUUCAGCUGGCUUGUAAAAUUUCUAAAUAUGUAAUCGUUGCCCUUGCUAGCUGGUAGGGACACCGCAGUGUGUUCAGCGAAAAGGAACUACAGAAGCGAUGGAAUCAUAAAGAUGCGUGUACCUGCCUCAUACAUGUGUGCAAGGGUUUCCCUCUCUGAAAAUUUGCCUGGUUGUAGGCUGUAAUUUUGCUAGAAUGAAGCAAAUUGAUAUAAAUGUGGCUUUGAAUGAAAAUCCCAGCUUAUGCAAACAAGUAUUCUCCUUUUUAAAGGCACCAUGCUACACCCUGUCACAUACUUGAUGUCUUCACCAGAAGUUAGCGCUUUGAGGACAGAGAUUGUGUCUCAUCUUCUCCAUGGACGUUCAGGACUAGUAUUGCGUGGGAAAGGGAAUUGACAAGUUUUGAAUGAACGUGAAAUGAAUUAGAUAAAAUUUAGACUUAAAGUCAUAGCGGAAUCAUCAUCAAGAAUCAAGCUUCUCCCAGGUUUUUGGGCUCUUUCAGUAUCAGUGAAGGUGACCUGGUAUGAAUUGUGGGGUUUUUUUUUUUUCACAUUUAACUGAUUUAUUUAAUUGAUUUAGUUGAGUCUUAAAAACCUACGAUCAAAAUGUUACUUGCAUUUGCUCAUACUUCCUGUAGAUUAUUCCUUUUUAAAAAAAAAUUUUAUUUUAAACUGGAGCAGCGUUG
Molecule: non-coding RNA, 691 nt
Organism: Delphinapterus leucas (beluga whale)
Lineage: Eukaryota; Metazoa; Chordata; Mammalia; Artiodactyla; Monodontidae
Source: RefSeq, a predicted model, not a curated record